RNAcentral lists this ribosomal RNA (253 nucleotides) under uncultured bacterium. RNAcentral's name for it is "partial 16S ribosomal RNA". It matches the Rfam family "Bacterial small subunit ribosomal RNA", at positions 524 to 776 of the family's 1533-position model. The record is from RNAcentral.
UACGAGUGCUUCGAGCGUUAUCCGGAAUCAUUGGGCGUAAAGGGUGUGUAGGCGGUUAUGUUAGUCUCUCGUUAAAUUUUUCGGCUCAACCGGGGUCAUGCGGGGGAAACGGCAUAACUUGAGGAUGGAAGGGGUCUCUGGAACUCAUGGUGUAGCGGUGAAAUGCGUUGAUAUCAUGGGGAACACCGAAAGCGAAGGCAAGAGACUGGUCCACUCCUGACGCUGAAACACGAAAGCGUGGGUCGCGAAUGGG